This 794-nucleotide ribosomal RNA is filed under the name uncultured archaeon. RNAcentral describes it as "bacterial SSU rRNA". It matches the Rfam family "Archaeal small subunit ribosomal RNA", at positions 85 to 879 of the family's 1478-position model. The record is from RNAcentral.
ACUGCUCAGUAACACGUGGACAACCUGCCCUUUAGGUUGGGUAUAAACCCGGGAAACUGGGUAUAAUACCCGAUAGGUCUCGAUUGCUGGAAUGCAUCGAGAUUUAAAGCUCCGGCGCCUAAGGAUGGGUCUGCGGCCUAUCAGGUAGUAGUGGGUGUAGCGUACCUACUAGCCUACGACGGGUACGGGUUGUGAGAGCAAGAGCCCGGAGAUGGAUUCUGAGACACGAAUCCAGGCCCUACGGGGUGCAGCAGGCGCGAAAAUUUUACAAUGCUGGCAACAGCGAUAAGGGAACCUCGAGUGCCAGGUUACAAAUCUGGCUGUCGAGAUGCCUAAAAAGCAUUUCAUAGCAAGGGCCGGGCAAGACCGGUGCCAGCCGCCGCGGUAACACCGGCGGCUCGAGUGGUAACCGUUAUUAUUGGGUCUAAAGGGUCUGUAGCCGGCCGGAUAAGUCUCUUGAGAAAUCUGGCAGCUUAACUGUCAGGCUUUCAGGAGAUACUGUCUGGCUCGAGGCCGGGAGAGGUGAGAGGUACUUCAGGGGUAGGGGUGAAAUCUUGUAAUCCUUGAAGGACCACCAGUGGCGAAGGCGUCUCACCAGAACGGACCUGACGGCAAGGGACGAAAGCUAGGGGCACGAACCGGAUUAGAUACCCGGGUAGUCCUAGCCGUAAACGAUACUCGCUAGGUGUCGGCCACGGUGCGACCGUUGUCGGUGCCGUAGGGAAGCCGUGAAGCGAGCCACCUGGGAAGUACGGCCGCAAGGCUGAAACUUAAAGGAAUUGGCGGGGGAGCAC